AUGAAACACUGCGGCGUGCCUAAUCAUGCAAGUCGAGCGAACGGACGAGAAGCUUGCUUCUCUGAUGUUAGCGGCGGACGGGUGAGUAACACGUGGAUAAUCUACCUAUAAGACUGGGAUAACUUCGGGAAACCGGAGCUAAUACCGGAUAAUAUUUUGAACCGCAUGGUUCAAAAGUGAAAGACGGUCUUGCUGUCACUUAUAGAUGGAUCCGCGCUGCAUUAGCUAGUUGGUAAGGUAACGGCUUACCAAGGCAACGAUGCAUAGCCGACCUGAGAGGGUGAUCGGCCACACUGGAACUGAGGCACGGUCCAGACUCCUACGGGAGGCAGCAGUAGGGAAUCUUCCGCAACGGGCGAAAGCCUGACGGAGCAACGCCGCGUGAGUGAUGAAGGUCUUCGGAUCGUAAAACUCUGUUAUUAGGGAAGAACAUAUGUGUAAGUAACUGUGCACAUCUUGACGGUACCUAAUCAGAAAGCCACGGCUAACUACGUGCCAGCAGCCGCGGUAAU
This 512-nucleotide ribosomal RNA is filed under the name uncultured bacterium. RNAcentral describes it as "bacterial SSU rRNA". It matches the Rfam family "Bacterial small subunit ribosomal RNA", at positions 39 to 524 of the family's 1533-position model. The record is from RNAcentral.